Long non-coding RNA from Limulus polyphemus (Atlantic horseshoe crab), 988 nucleotides. RefSeq lists it as uncharacterized. NCBI's taxonomy places the organism in Eukaryota, Metazoa, Arthropoda, Merostomata, Xiphosura, Limulidae. The transcript is spliced from 3 exons. The record is from RefSeq and is a predicted model, not a curated record.
AAACAUCCACAAUUUCGUCUGUUAUAAGCACAAUGAUAAUCAUCACUGUAAACUGUAUCAGUUUUAGGUUACUCAUAAGUUCAAAAGCAUGAAACAUCUUACAAAUGGUUGAUCACAGGUGCCUACACUGGAAACCAUAAUCACCUUAUUAUUUUAUAGAUGAUGAACAAACAGAUGAAAUGGGGAUCAACUGCUUAGUUCAGUAUGACGCUCGUGGGGAAAAUCUUGACAUAUCGAAAGUAUUUCGUCAUCACGUCAGAAAUCUUCCAAAACGUCGCCCUUUCCAUGUGUGCCACGACUUUCUCCAUCAGUGUCACUUUGAACGAGGCAGUUGCUACCAAAUUCACCUUGUCAUCAUUCAGGAUCAGCACAUCGUCCCAGACCAGCAUAACAAUACAUAUCCUGUAACUUGUCAUCCUAAUAACUUGAUUCUUUUUUAGACUCUUGUUUCUCUACAGAAGUUUGGUGUUUUUCCACCUGAUUUUUUAUUUAGAUCUUAAAAAUAUAUAAAUUUAGUCUACUGUGUCACAUUUCUUUAUACUUUCCGCUAAGCCUACCUGAGUUGAUUUCAGUAACUUACUUCCGAUUUUCCAGGUUGUAGAUUACAGCUCCUACUCAGGAUACGGUCAGACCGGAUAUCCUUACUAUCCUAAUCAAAGUUACGGGGCUUAUUUACCUACUGUAAGCGGUAAAUCAACGUUAGGACUGACCGGCUCAUCUUCCGGAACAUAUCAACUUUCAUCUCUUCCUGCUCUUAUAAAUGGAGAGAGUCUACAGUACACAGAGAACGGUGUACCUCCUAAAGAAGUCGACAUGUCAAAUGUUGGUAAGAAAAACUCGAGUAAAAAUGGUCGUAGUCGAGGUCGACGUCAGACCAACCCAUCCCCUGACCCUGACAAUAACUUGGAACGCGUGUUUGUAUGGGAUCUGGACGAAACCAUCAUCGUGUUCCAUUCUCUCUUAACAGGAUCUUUUGCUGCUCGUUAUG